UAGUGUUAUAGCUCUUUUAGAAUUUGUCUAGCAGGUUUUCCAGUCCUUACCGGAAGAUGCCCCA
Propithecus coquereli (Coquerel's sifaka) is the source of this 64-nucleotide small nuclear RNA. Its record names the gene U7. It matches the Rfam family "U7 small nuclear RNA". From Rfam's summary of the family: Animal histone pre-mRNAs are spliced by a different mechanism than nuclear pre-mRNAs and self-splicing introns. This processing involves the U7 snRNP, which contains only one RNA species: U7. Lineage: Eukaryota; Metazoa; Chordata; Mammalia; Primates; Indriidae. The record is from Ensembl.